RNAcentral lists this transfer RNA (72 nucleotides) under Pseudoalteromonas phage vB_PtuP_Slicky01. It matches the Rfam family "tRNA". Rfam says of the family: Transfer RNA (tRNA) molecules are approximately 80 nucleotides in length. Their secondary structure includes four short double-helical elements and three loops (D, anti-codon, and T loops). The record is from Rfam by way of RNAcentral. Lineage: Duplodnaviria; Heunggongvirae; Uroviricota; Caudoviricetes.
GGCCUCUUAGUUAAGCGGAUAUAACAAUCCCCUCCUAAGGGAUAGUCACAGGUUCGAUUCCUGUAGGGGCUA